AACGAACGCUGGCGGCAUGCCUAACACAUGCAAGUCGAACGAGACCUUCGGGUCUAGUGGCGCCCGGGUGCGUAACGCGUGGGAACCUGCCCUUAGGUUCGGAAUAACUCCCCGAAAGGGGUGCUAAUACCGGAUAAUGUCUUCGGACCAAAGAUUUAUCGCCUUUGGAUGGGCCCUCGUUGGAUUAGCUAGUUGGUAGGGUAAAAGCCUACCAAGGCGACGAUCCAUAGCUGGUCUGAGAGGAUGAUCAGCGACACUGGGACUGGGACACGGCCCAGACUCCUACGGGAGGCAGCAGUGGGGAAUAGUGGAAAAUGGGCGAAAGCCUGAUCCAGCAAUGCCGCGUGAGUGAUGAAGGCCUUAGGGUUGUAAAGCUCUUUUACCCGGGAUGAUAAUGACAGUACCGGGAGAAUAAGCUCCGGCUAACUCCGUG
Molecule: ribosomal RNA, 433 nt
Filed under: uncultured bacterium
Lineage: Bacteria
Description: partial 16S ribosomal RNA
Rfam family: Bacterial small subunit ribosomal RNA
Source: RNAcentral